This 377-nucleotide unclassified non-coding RNA is filed under the name Hevea brasiliensis (rubber tree). The record is from RNAcentral. Lineage: Eukaryota; Viridiplantae; Streptophyta; Magnoliopsida; Malpighiales; Euphorbiaceae.
AAGAAAGAAAGGGAGGGAAGAGAAGGGAAAGUAUGAACCACCAGGACUACAAUUCUAAUCAAGUGCUUAAAAUAUGUAGAUCUUAGAUAUGUCCAGAGUUUGAGGGUAAUAAUAAAAUUCACGGCAGAACAAAAGGAUCUUUAAAAGAAGCUUAUAGUUGGCUUUACAAUUUGUAGAGAGGAUAAAUUAAAUAAAGGUGCAAUUAUGCUAUGUUUUAAAUGUUUGAACAUACGUGCUGUUUUACUUUUCUAAAAUAGGUUCUAUAUGGCAGGGCAGAAUUGUUGCCUUAACAGCUCAAGCGUGGACAAAUUUUUUGAAUAUGAACCUCACCCAUCGUCUGCAAAAAAUCUGCAUCAUCUUUUCCAGAUGAUUCGUCA